Arabidopsis thaliana (thale cress) is the source of this 91-nucleotide non-coding RNA. RefSeq annotates it as other RNA. The transcript is spliced from 2 exons. The record is from RefSeq. Lineage: Eukaryota; Viridiplantae; Streptophyta; Magnoliopsida; Brassicales; Brassicaceae.
UCUCUUCUUUCUUCUUCUCAACCUACCAAAAUGUGGAGGUGUAGACGACGACCGGAACGAAUGAAGACGAGGAUUCAGGUGUGCGCAAGAG